Molecule: ribosomal RNA, 497 nt
Filed under: uncultured bacterium
Lineage: Bacteria
Description: partial 16S ribosomal RNA
Rfam family: Bacterial small subunit ribosomal RNA
Source: RNAcentral
GAUGAACGCUGGCUGCGUGCCUAAUACAUGCAAGUCGAGCGAACAGACGAGGAGCUUGCUCCUCUGACGUUAGCGGCGGACGGGUGAGUAACACGUGGAUAACCUACCUAUAAGACUGGGAUAACUUCGGGAAACCGGAGCUAAUACCGGAUAAUAUAUUUAACCGCAUUGUUCAAUAGUGAAAGACGGUUUUGCUGUCACUUAUAGAUGGAUCCGCGCCGCAUUAGCUAGUUGGCAAGGUAACGGCUUACCAAGGCAACGAUGCGUAGCCGACCUGAGAGGGUGAUCGGCCACACUGGAACUGAGACACGGUCCAGACUCCUACGGGAGGCAGCAGUAGGGAAUCUUCCGCAAAGGGCGAAAGCCUGACGGAGCAACGCCGCGUGAGUGAUGAAGGUCUUCGGAUCGUAAAACUCUGUUAUUAGGGAAGAACAAAUGUGUAAGUAACUAUGCACGUCUUGACGGUACCUAAUCAGAAAGCCACGGCUAACUACGUG